This 183-nucleotide unclassified non-coding RNA is filed under the name uncultured Hydnellum. RNAcentral describes it as "sequence contains ITS2". The record is from RNAcentral. Lineage: Eukaryota; Fungi; Basidiomycota; Agaricomycetes; Thelephorales; Thelephoraceae.
AAUUAUCAACUGCUUUAUGUAUUUAAAGUGAAGUUGGAUUUGGAGUGUUUGCUGGUGUGUUAUUCAGCUCCUCUUAAAAGCAUUAAAGCGAUUUGUUAGGGAAAGUAAUCUUUGACGUGAUAACUAUCUACGUCGUAGAGAAAGCCCAUUUUGUUGACAUCGUUUUUACACUACUUUUGACCA